AGAAGGGAGAGAGAGAGAGAGAGAGAGAGAGAGAGAGAGAGAGAGAGAGAGAGAGAUGUAUCAAAUGCUAUGGGCUAUGGCAACCCAUUCACUGAGCUGUAAUGAUGAUGGGGCGCAUGUGGGUUGGACUCAGAACUCCCUGCUCCUCAUUCUCUCUCUCUCUCUCUCUCUCUCUCUCUCUCUCUCUCUCUCUCUCUCUCUUGUG
Molecule: microRNA precursor, 205 nt
Filed under: Prunus dulcis (almond)
Lineage: Eukaryota; Viridiplantae; Streptophyta; Magnoliopsida; Rosales; Rosaceae
Description: sRNA ncRNA
Source: RNAcentral